AACGAACGCUGGCGGCAGGCCUAACACAUGCAAGUCGAGCGAGGACUUCGGUUCUAGCGGCGGACGGGUGAGUAACGCGUGGGAAUGUGCCCUUCUCUACGGAAUAGCCCUGGGAAACUGGGAGUAAUACCGUAUACGCCCUAUUGGGGAAAGAUUUAUCGGAGAAGGAUCAGCCCGCGUUGGAUUAGGUAGUUGGUGGGGUAAUGGCCUACCACGCCGACGAUCCAUAGCUGGUUUGAGAGGAUGAUCAGCCACACUGGGACUGAGACACGGCCCAGACUCCUACGGGAGGCAGCAGUGGGGAAUCUUAGACAAUGGGGGCAACCCUGAUCUAGCCAUGCCGCGUGAGUGAUGAAGGCCUUAGGGUUGUAAAGCUCUUUCAGCUGGGAAGAUAAUGACGGUACCAGCAGAAGAAGCCCCGGCUAACUCCGUG
Molecule: ribosomal RNA, 433 nt
Filed under: uncultured bacterium
Lineage: Bacteria
Description: partial 16S ribosomal RNA
Rfam family: Bacterial small subunit ribosomal RNA
Source: RNAcentral